This 253-nucleotide ribosomal RNA is filed under the name uncultured bacterium. RNAcentral's name for it is "partial 16S ribosomal RNA". It matches the Rfam family "Bacterial small subunit ribosomal RNA", at positions 524 to 776 of the family's 1533-position model. The record is from RNAcentral.
UACGGAGGGUGCAAGCGUUAUCCGGAUUCACUGGGUUUAAAGGGUGUGUAGGCGGAUUUGUAAGUACCUUGUGAAAUCCCACAGCUUAACUGUGGAACUGCUUGGUAUACUGCUUAUCUUGGGCCACUUAGGGGUUACCGGAACAAACGGUGGAGCGGUGAAAUGCGUAGAUAUCGUUUGGAACGCCAAUGGUGAAAACAGGUAACUGGGAGUGUGCCGACGCUAAGACACGAAAGCCAGGGGAGCGAACGGG